Agrilus planipennis (emerald ash borer) is the source of this 278-nucleotide long non-coding RNA. RefSeq lists it as uncharacterized. NCBI's taxonomy places the organism in Eukaryota, Metazoa, Arthropoda, Insecta, Coleoptera, Buprestidae. The transcript has 2 exons. The record is from RefSeq and is a predicted model, not a curated record.
ACCUGUAAAAUAGUCUAGUUAAAUAUUAAAAUCACCUGCAUGAUUUAUUUAUUUCAGCAUGAAUAAGUAUAUUAACUGAACUAAAUGCAUUUAUUACGGUGUGCAAUUUGUUAAAAUAUAUUUCAAUUUGAGUUUAUCACAGUUUAUCGUAAGCAAUGAGUACCAAAAAAUUAAUGUUUGGGUUAGAAGACAUAGUAGCGGUAACGUCACACAAAGAAGGUUUAGAAGCUCUUAUAAAGCAGCCAAAUUUGUUAUUUGUCAUAGCAAAAUUACUUAAA